This 226-nucleotide ribosomal RNA is filed under the name uncultured Lactobacillus sp. RNAcentral's name for it is "partial 16S ribosomal RNA". It matches the Rfam family "Bacterial small subunit ribosomal RNA", at positions 135 to 355 of the family's 1533-position model. Lineage: Bacteria; Bacillati; Bacillota; Bacilli; Lactobacillales; Lactobacillaceae. The record is from RNAcentral.
AGANUGGAUAACACCUGGAAACAGAUGCUAAUACCGGAUAACAACAGAUGAUGCCUAUCAACUGUUUAAAAGAUGGUUCUGCUAUCACUCUUGGAUGGACCUGCGGUGCAUUAGCUAGUUGGUAGGGUAACGGCCUACCAAGGCGAUGAUGCAUAGCCGAGUUGAGAGACUGAUCGGCCACAUUGGGACUGAGACACGGCCCAAACUCCUACGGGAGGCAGCAGCA